GACAGAGGGUGCAAACGUUGUUCGGAAUUACUGGGCGUAAAGCGUGUGUAGGCGGUCUCAACAGUCGGGUGUGAAAGCCCUGGGCUCAACCCAGGAAGUGCACUCGAUACUGCGAGGCUAGAGUAUCGGAGAGGUUGGUGGAAUUCUCGGUGUAGAGGUGAAAUUCGUAGAUAUCGAGAGGAACACCGGUGGCGAAGGCGGCCAACUGGACGAAUACUGACGCUGAGGAGCGAAAGCCAGGGGAGCAAACGGG
Molecule: ribosomal RNA, 253 nt
Filed under: uncultured bacterium
Lineage: Bacteria
Description: partial 16S ribosomal RNA
Rfam family: Bacterial small subunit ribosomal RNA
Source: RNAcentral